RNAcentral lists this ribosomal RNA (422 nucleotides) under uncultured prokaryote. Its description in RNAcentral is "bacterial SSU rRNA". It matches the Rfam family "Bacterial small subunit ribosomal RNA", at positions 355 to 774 of the family's 1533-position model. The record is from RNAcentral.
UGAGGAAUAUUGGUCAAUGGGCGCAAGCCUGAACCAGCCAUCCCGCGUGAAGGAAGAAGGCGCUAUGCGUCGUAAACUUCUUUUCCGGAGGAAUAAAAUUUCGUACGUGUACGGGACUGAAGGUACUCUGGGAAUAAGCAUCGGCUAACUCCGUGCCAGCAGCCGCGGUAAUACAGAGGUCCCAAGCGUUGUUCGGAUUCACUGGGCGUAAAGGGUGCGUAGGUGGCAAGGUAAGUCGGAUGUGAAAUCUCCGAGCUCAACUCGGAAAUGGCAUUGGAAACGGCUUUGCUCGAGGGUUGGAGGGGGGACUGGAAUACUUGGUGUAGCAGUGAAAUGCGUAGAUAUCAAGUGGAACACCAGUGGCGAAGGCGAGUCCCUGGACAACUCCUGACACUGAGGCACGAAAGCUAGGGGAGCAAACA